AAAACAUCGCCUCCUGCAAACCCUCAAUGUAUAGGAGGUCCUGCCUGCCCAGUGACAUAUUGUUAAACGGCCGCGGUAUUCUGACCGUGCUAAGGUAGCGCAAUCACUUGUCUUUUAAAUGGAGACCUGUAUGAAUGGUGGAACGAGGGCUUAACUGUCUCCCUCCCUCAGUCAAUGAAAUUGAUCUGCCCGUGCAGAAGCGGACAUACAAAUACAAGACGAGAAGACCCUUUGGAGCUUAAGACAAAAAGCCAACUGUGUAAAAACCUCACAUUAAACGAGACCCAACAAAACAGCCAACUGGCCAGCGUCUUCGGUUGGGGCGACCACGGGGGAAAACAAAGCCCCCAUGCAGAACGGGAUAUUUCCCUAAACUAAGAGAGACAUCUCUAAGCCGCAGAACAUCUGACCAAAAGAUCCGGUCAAUAAAACCGAUCAACGAACCAAGUUACCCUAGGGAUAACAGCGCAAUCCCCUUUAAGAGUCCAUAUCGACAAGGGGGUUUACGACCUCGAUGUUGGAUCAGGACAUCCUAAUGGUGCAGCCGCUAUUAAGGGUUCGUUUGUUCAACGAUUAAAGUCCUACGUGAUCUGA
RNAcentral lists this ribosomal RNA (594 nucleotides) under Caenotropus maculosus. RNAcentral describes it as "partial 16S ribosomal RNA". It matches the Rfam family "Bacterial large subunit ribosomal RNA", at positions 1810 to 2608 of the family's 2925-position model. The record is from RNAcentral. Lineage: Eukaryota; Metazoa; Chordata; Actinopteri; Characiformes; Chilodontidae.